GAACUAAUAUAAUCAUUACUGAAACUCACCUGUUAACACUUUUCCUUCAACUCUAACCACUUGAUUCUUUUGUUUUUCUUCUUCCUUCCCAUCGAGGUUCUAGCUCAGUACCUUUAUUUUAAUUGACUCCCCCAGGCUCUGUCCAUUUUUAUUAAGCACCAAAAUGUCAGCUAGUUAGCCAAAAGAAGUUGCUGGACUCGGCAUGGUGUAUUGCACACACAUAUUUAAAGGAACACAUGCACAAGGUCUUGGGAGAGCCAGGAGUAGGUUUCAAGGAACAGAAAAGCCUUUCUUCCUUUAUCCCUUUCAGAUGCCAGAAUUUCCUUUUAAAACACAAUCCCUUUAGUUUAAGGCUGAAAACAUGGGGGACUACAAAUACCUGCAAAGUGGCAAUAGAACAUUUGUACCUGGUUGUUAAGGAAGAAAUCCAGGAUCUUUAUAGGAUCUGGAAGGAGAGGUUGAAGGAGAUGCUGGAAGGCAGAAAUUUUCUAGAUGGUUCAGAGGCAGAGGCCCCUCCUGGAGCAAGGAAAGCUGAAGGAUGCGAGGACCAGCAACACAUCCAUUAGUUUCUUCAGGAGCCCUCGUGGUGAAGUGGCAUGAUCGUGAAGGUUGGUGGCAGCUAGACCUGAGUUUGAAUCCCUGUUUCCCCACUCACUUACCAGCUGGGUGACUUGAGGCAAUCUAUGUAAUCUCAUUGAGCAUCAACCUCUU
Molecule: long non-coding RNA, 711 nt
Filed under: Marmota monax (woodchuck)
Lineage: Eukaryota; Metazoa; Chordata; Mammalia; Rodentia; Sciuridae
Source: RNAcentral